AUUGAACGCUGGCGGCAGGCCUAACACAUGCAAGUCGAACGAGUGGCGGACGGGUGAGUAAUGUCUGGGAAACUGCCUGAUGGAGGGGGAUAACUACUGGAAACGGUAGCUAAUACCGCAUACCAUCAGAAGUGCCCAGAUGGGAUUAGCUUGUUGGUGGGGUAACGGCUCACCAAGGCGACGAUCCCUAGCCGGUCUGAGAGGAUGACCGGCAACACUGGAAUUGGGCACCGGUCCAGACCCCUCCGGGAGGCAGCAGUGGGGAAUAUUGCCAAAUGGGCGCAAGCCUGCGGCAGCCAUGCCGGGUGGAUGAAGAAGGCCUUCGGGUUGUAAAGUACGUUCAGCGGGGAGGCGUUACCCGCAGAGGAAGCACCGGCUAACUCCGUGCCAGCCGCCGCGGUAAUAC
Molecule: ribosomal RNA, 406 nt
Filed under: uncultured bacterium
Lineage: Bacteria
Description: partial 16S ribosomal RNA
Rfam family: Bacterial small subunit ribosomal RNA
Source: RNAcentral